AAUUGUUUGACAAAGUCCCGUGCCAUGUCAUCCUAGACCUACCAGCAAGAUGUGUCUUGAUCCAAAAACCAUUCAGAUGCUACUCCCGAGAGGCUCUCCACAGAAUAAGCUAUAAGCAAUUGUUCAUUUUCUCCUACACCUCUCAAUUGGUUGCAAUACCUUUUCAGGUGGGCUAUGGGGUCUCCAUGUCCAUUGUACUUUU
RNAcentral lists this long non-coding RNA (202 nucleotides) under Nicotiana benthamiana. RNAcentral describes it as "long non-coding RNA (NBEN_LNC024240)". The record is from RNAcentral. Lineage: Eukaryota; Viridiplantae; Streptophyta; Magnoliopsida; Solanales; Solanaceae.